AUACGGAGGGUGCAAGCGUUAAUCGGAAUUACUGGGCGUAAAGCGUACGUAGGCGGUUCGUUAAGUUAGAUGUGAAAGCCCCGGGCUUAACCUGGGAACUGCAUUUAAAACUGGCGAACUAGAGUUGAGUAGAGGGGAGUGGAAUUUCAGGUGUAGCGGUGAAAUGCGUAGAGAUCUGAAGGAACACCAGUGGCGAAGGCGACUCCCUGGACUCAAACUGACGCUGAGGUACGAAAGCGUGGGUAGCAAACGGAAUUAGAAACCCCAGUAGUCC
This 274-nucleotide ribosomal RNA is filed under the name uncultured bacterium. RNAcentral's name for it is "partial 16S ribosomal RNA". It matches the Rfam family "Bacterial small subunit ribosomal RNA", at positions 523 to 796 of the family's 1533-position model. The record is from RNAcentral.